GGAGUUCAGUAUCCGUGUGGCCUGGGGGAGGAACCUGGAGUCCUGGCUCUGAUGGAGCGAAGCCUCUUACCCGAGGGCAGCCACUCAAACAGUCUGUGGUUGGGAUGGUGAGUGUUUGAUAAUCCGUCUUGCCCUGGACCUGCACCACUCGGUGUAGAUGUCCUGGAGGCCGGGCAGUGCAGUCCGGGUGAUGCGUUCAGCAAAAUGGAUGACUCGAUGCAGGGCCUUUCUGUCCUGAGAGCUGCAGCUGCUGUACCAGGCAGUGAUGCUCGCAGAAAGCACAGACCCCACUGUGGCGGUGUAGAAAGUUUGCCAAUUUGAAUUUACAAAUGUGCAAAAAAACAAAUUCCAUUUACAUGCAUUUGUUUUAAGAUUAAUAUGACUAAAUCCUUUUGGUUUACGAACUUUCACCACAUAAGCAGCGGUGGAUAACGGAGCAGUUUUUUUUGGAACACAUGCAUGAGUGUCACACGUGCUUGUGUUUUCUGAUCCUCACCUGUCGCCGCCACGCUCCGACGGUGCAAAGCCACUUUUUUCUUUGCCUCCACCUUUAGAUCAGACCACUUCUUCUUGAUUUCGGCAACGCUGCGCUCAGUGCCAGCCGCACUUACCGCAACGGCAACGCCGUGCCAUUCGGUGGCUUUUCUUUUAUUGGUGAUGCCACUCGAAUGGCCGCCGAGGUCUCCCGUCUCGCCGCCACCUCAUUUACAAGAACCUCCACCUCGGUCUCUGAAAAGUUUUUUUCUACGACUUGCUGAUGCCAUGAUUAAGCGUGAAAUGCCGUGGAGCCAUCAGGCUUAUUUAUAUGCAAAUCACAUUCAUGAGGUAAUUUGCAUGACCAUACAUGGUGAAUUUUGGGUGUGGAGAGGGCGGGGCAUGAAUCAAAUCCCUGCUGCGCAACUUUCCGGCUGGUCUGUGAUUUAUAAUGGGAAAGUGCGUGCAGGUGUGCGUAGGCAGGGUUUUAUAAAUCAGAUUUUUUUUUUUUGCCUACGCACUUUUCAGCUUUUCAACUUAUGUACACUUUUAGUAUGGAUCCUACGCCAGGUUUUAUAAAUGAGGCCCCAGGUCUGGUCAGAGGGAAUAUUCCAUCCCAUUCUGUGCAGUUGCUGUUAACGGUGACGUUAGUCAUUAACAGCAGGACGCAGGUCGACAGGACCACAGCUGGUACUACUCGCAGGAGUGGUCUCAGGCCCAUGCAAACCACACAGUCUUUUUUUGUCAUGUUUGCAGCUUGUUCUGCCAUUAGUAACUAAUUAUUGUGAUUUCCUGAUAUGCCUGUGGUGACCUGGAACCACUCAUCCACAGUUUUGAGUUCACCACGGGCCACAACUCCUCCUGCUUUCCCUGCAGGGGAAACUUGUGGUUUUGUUGGUGAGAUUUCAUUUCUAGUACAAUUGAACUCACACAGCGAUAUCAGAAAUGAUAGAUCAGUGCCAGAGGACCAAGCCCAUAACAGGAACAACCAGCACUGACCUCCCUUCCCCCGUAUACCCUGGGGGAGUCAGUGUUCGUCCAUUCGUGAGAUUCACCGUUAUCAAUUUAUUAUCUUUUCGAGGAUCUCUUAAAUUUAUGAUUUCCCUGUGGUAUGAGGCCCAUGCAUCUGUGGUUUGAGUAGUCCAAUCAUAGCCAUUGGGAUCGUCUACUAGCGCGCCCCAUCCCUGGUUUUGUUGAUUAUUUGUCAUAUACCAUUUUGUGUAGCCCGUUCCCUUAUAUCCUUUAUAAGAGAGACUGCCUACUGGGAUGGUUAUAACAGAAGUCUGGUUUGCCGGUAAAUACACCGCAGGAAUGGAAGCAUGCAUUCAUGUCGCAUUGACUGCACAGCUAAUUUUUUUUGUCUUUAUUUUCUCGUUUAGGCCUAUUAUGGGUGAAGCCUGGAGUAUAUAUGUUGUUACCUGCAGACAAACCUUAUCCUAGGGUUGUCAUCAGCAGGGCUCUGAAUAACACUGUCACAGUCAUUUUUACCGAAACAACGACCCCUAUCCUGCAGUCAGUGGCUUUGAAAUAAGGUUUCAUAAGGAGUCAAUCCACUAGUUCUUGUUAUAUUGAUGUAGAGUUUCACGAGGUCCAGACACUGUGUCCACGGUCUGUUUGUUUCUUCCAUACAUUUUUUAAGUCUGUUUUUUAUUGUUCCAUUCAUUCGUUCUACUAGGCCUGCACUUUGAGGAUGGUAUGCACAAUGAUAUUAAAGGUCCAUAUGGAACAUUUGUCCUAUUCUUUUGAUGAUUUGGUUCACAAAGUGAGUGCCAUUGUCGCUGCAAAUUAUUUCUGGGAUACCAUACCGAGGUAUGAUGUCUUUACAAAGUGCUUUAGCGACCGUCAAUGCAUCUGGUGUUUUAGUUGGGAAAAGCUCUAACCAUUUGGAAAAUGCAUCUAUUAUCACUUGGGCUUAGUUCGAUAAAGUCCAUGUGUAUGACCUGGAAGGGGUAUUUUGGUUCAGGGAAACUGCAUGUUUUCAUUCUGUGAUUUCCCUGAGGAUUAUGUUUGGUGCAUGUUAAACAUGCUCUGCAAAAAUUUUUUGAAUAAGAGUUAAAUCCAUAUGCAGUAAAGUGCUGCUGUAUCCAUCCUACCAUCCCUCCUGUUGAGACAUGUGUGGAACCAUGGCUCAAUAUUGCUGCCCAUUUAAAAAGAUUCUUUGGUAGGAUAGGCUUCCCUUCAGGUCAUACAUAGAUGCCAUUUUGCAAAUGUGCUCUUUGUUUAGUCCAGAGUUUGAUUUCAGUUUUUGGGAUCUGUUGUUGCAUUGUUUUAAGAACAUCAUCAGAAAGUGCGUCAGUAUACUCCAAGGUCCAGACUGAGAUCUCACCCUCAGCCGUAGCCUUGGCCGUCUUUUCUGCAAAUGCGUUUCCCAGUGAAACAGAAUCUGUUCCAGAAGUGUGGGUGGCACAUUUGCAAAUAGCUAACUUUUUUGGUAGAUGUACGGCGGCUAAGAGUUCCAUCAGGAGCUGAGCGUGAGUCACAGGUUUACCGGUAGGAGUCAUCAUGCCUCUAUUUUUCCAAUAUUGUGCAAAAGUAUGUGUAGUGGCGAAAGCAUAUUGGCUAUCGGUGUAAAUUGUGACUUCUUUUCCGGCUAUGAUUUUGCAAGCUUCAGUAAGCGCAACCAGUUCUGCUGCUUGAGCAGAGAAACUUGAUGGUAAUUUUGCUGCUUUUAAAACGGUUGCGCUAGUUACAACUGCAUAACCCGUUAAGGUUUUACCACAUUCAUUCUUUUUGGAGGAACCAUCCACAAAGAGGGUUUCUCCAGUUUGCAGAGGUUGAUCUUGCAAAUCGGCUCGGCUUUUUGCUGUUUGUUCAGCUAACUCCUGACAGUUAUGCUUAGCGCCAUCAUCUGGCAGAGGGAGCAAAGUAGCUGGAUUUAAGGUUGUGCAUCAUUCUACAGUCAUGUGUGGCUGUGAUAGCAGAGUCGACAUGCAAGACAAAUGUCAUGCCGGAGACAAGAAAGUCAUAUUAGUCUGCAACAGUGAAACUGAAUGAGGCACUUGCAACGUGAGUGUGUGAAACAGUACUGUGGUAGCACUGACUUCCACAGCCAUCGAGGCCGCUAUCACAGCUCUGACGCAAUGAGGCAAUGCACAAGCUACGCUAUCAAGCUUGGAUGAAUAAUACACUACUGGUUUCAGUUUUGCUCCAUGUUGUUGUGUAAGGACAGAGGUCAUGAACUGUCCCUUGCAGUCUACCAUCUGAAUAAAUGGCUUACUAUAGUCUGGCAGUGCUAAAGCUGUACUGGACACUAAAGCUUGCUUGAUGUUACAGAACGCUGUUUCAGCUUCAGGUGUCCAUUGUAUCAAAGAUGUCAUCUUUAGGUCUUCAUCCUACAUUAGUUAACUCAAAGGUUGAGUUAUUUCAGCAUAAUUAGGAACCCAUGUUCUGCAAUAGUUUGUUAGGCCUAGAAAUGACAUCAUUUGUUUCUUUGUAAGUGGUUUAGGAGCUUGUAGGAUAGCUGUUUUUCUACUCUCAACUAUGGUGCAGCCUGCUGCACUAAGAUUGUGGCACAAGUAUUUUACCUCUGUCUUACAGAGCUGCAAUUUGUUUUUACUGGCCUUGUGUCCUUCAGCAGCUAAGCGUUCUAAUAAUGCCAGUGUAUCUGCCUUACAGGUGGCUUCAUCGGGUGAGGCCAGAAGGAUGUCAUCGACAUACAGAAGGACUUGAAUCCCAUGAGGGGGAGUGAACUUCGACAUACUGGAGCUCAUGAUCUGGGAGUAUAUUGUAGGACUUUCGCAAUAACCCUGUGGUAGCCGAGUGUAUGUGUACCGCUGGCCUCCAAAGGUGAAGGCGAACCAGUACUGACUGUCUUUAUCCGCCGGUACUGAGAAAAAUGCAUUGCUAAUGUCCACUACUGUAAAUACAGUAGCAUCUGAUCUUUUUCAAAACACCAUUUCUGCCUUCAGCAAGCAAUGCAGCUGCUAAAGCUGCUGGACCUUUGUUUGGUAAGUCUAGACUGUACCAAUAAUGAGGUUGGCCUUGACCCUGGGAAACAAAAAUGUCUCCUGGGCCUAAUUCAUCUUUUCUUUUCACCAGCAUCAGCCCACAAGAAGAGGGCACCAAGGCCAAGCUCAAGCUCAACGGUCCGUCUCAACCAAGCGAAUUUACUGGACACUGUGGCAUGUCCAACGCACUGAACUGACAGGAUGUGCCCUGGGGGUGUGGGUCCCUAAACCACAACGGUGUGGUCUGGGGCACAUCUGAGAGUUCUCCAUUUGCAGCUCUUACUUUCAUGGUUUUGCCUGAGAAUGUCACAUGUGGUAUUGGUUCUUUUAUUGUGGUUUCACAAGCGCCGCUGUCGCAAAGGAAUGUCAUUUCCUUUCCAUUUACGAGCAGCUGCACUUCUGGUUUCACAUGGUUCAUAAUAAAAUAUCUCAAUAUAUCAGACUCUUUCCUUUGUCCUUCAUACUGUCAUGCUUGAUUUUGAUCUCGCCCUGACUGUUCAUGCCUUUCUCCAUCUAAUUUGUUCUUGCAAUCAUGGCUUUAUGUACCUCCUUUCCACAUGCCCAGCAACCUGUCCCUCUUUGGUUUGCUCCUCCUGGUCUGGGCCUACCCUGUCCUCUACCUCCGAACCCUCCUCUG
RNAcentral lists this long non-coding RNA (5058 nucleotides) under Xyrichtys novacula (pearly razorfish). Lineage: Eukaryota; Metazoa; Chordata; Actinopteri; Labriformes; Labridae. The record is from RNAcentral.